RNAcentral lists this ribosomal RNA (1666 nucleotides) under Craterellus lutescens. Its description in RNAcentral is "Cantharellus lutescens small subunit ribosomal RNA". It matches the Rfam family "Bacterial small subunit ribosomal RNA". The record is from RNAcentral. Lineage: Eukaryota; Fungi; Basidiomycota; Agaricomycetes; Cantharellales; Hydnaceae.
UUACAGAAGAAUUUAAUUUUGGUUCCGAUUGAACGUUAUUCAGUAGUCUAAGGCAUGCAAAUCAUUUUAAUAAACUAUGCUAUGGAAACCUCAUCUUAAUUCUAUUGGCACUAGAAUAAGGUGAAUUCUAAAUUUACAGGUCAAAUAGAAUAUUUAAGUUAAAAGGUGUAGAGGUGAGUAAUAUUAAAUUAGAUACCCUUUAGUAUCCGUAAAUAGAAUAUAACCAAAGAGAUAAUUCUCGCUAUGGGAUUUUAAUUUAACUUGACUAGGUAGUUGGUGGGGUUAAAGGCCUACCAAGCCGACGAUCAAUAGCCAUUCUUGUAAGAGACAAUGGCCACAUUGGGUUUGAAAUCGACCCUAGUAGUUUUAAACUACCAGCAGCCGAGAAUAUUUGUCAAUGCUCGCAAGAGUGAACGAGCUAACUGAAAGAUUACACAAUCUAAGGAUAGAAAACUUACAAAUACAUUAUUUAUAAGUUUAAAUACGAAUCUGACUAAUAGUGUCGUCUAAAUUCUGGUGCCAGAAGACUCGGUAAUACCAGAGACGCGAACGUUAAUCAUCAUGAAUGGGCAUAAAGGGUUUGUAGGUGGCUUAUUUAUUAAUAGGCUAGAAUCUUAUAGAGGUUAAUAAAAUACUUAGAGGAGGGCUGAUAUCCUUAGAUCCUGAGUGGAAUCCUAAUUGCGAAGGCCAUUAACCAAUAAAGAUUGACGCUGAGACACGAAAGUUAGGACAGGAACUAGGAUUAGAGACCCUAUUACCCCUAACUGUAAACGAUGAAUGGAAGAUAUUUACUAUAACAGUAAGUGUCGAAGUGAAUACGAUAACCAUUCCGCCUUGCCAGUAUACUUGCAAAAGUGAAAACAAAAAAAUUAGUCGGUCCUAAAGCAAACGAAGUGAAGCAUGUUAUUUAAUUCGAUAACCCGCGUAUAAUCUUACCACUUCUUGAAUAUUAACCUUAAUACUAAGGUCCGAAUCCUCGGGUUUGGAAUAAAUAACUUAUAUUAUAAGUUUUUAUUAUAAUACAGGUGUUGCAUGGCUGUCGUCAGUUCGUGUCAUGAGAUGUGAGGUUAAUUCCACUAACGAACGCAAUCCCUACUAUUAAUUUAUGUUUAAUAGUGAUUUUUUAAUAUAAAGAAUCUUUUUGGGGCUAAGACAAGUCCUUAUGACCCGAAUGAAGUGGGCUAUAGACGUGCUGCAAAAGCUCAGAACAAAGUGAUGCAAUACUAACCCUUUCCUUUAUUUUUAAGGUAUUUUAUAUAUCUUAAAUAUCUUAAGGUUAGGGAUACAGAGGAGCUAAUCACAAAAAACUGACUAUUUUAAUUUUGACCGAUUGUUGCCUGGAACUCGGCAGCAUGAAGCAGGAAUUUCGAGUAAUCGUUGAUCACUAACGCAACGGUGAAGUUUUAAUUUAGGAUGAACUAACUGUCUGUCAAUCGGGAGAAGCUUUACAAUAAGGAAGAAAUGGUAGUCCGGUCAUUAUUCUUAAUUAAUUAGUGAUAUGCCUAUAAUCUAAAUAAAUAUUUAUAUUUUUGGAAAUUAUUGGGAUGCCAAAGUCAAUAUAAUAAUUAAGAAAGAUGCUGGUAACUGGGUCCAGUUAUUGUGAGUGACAUUCGAUAAGUCAUAGCAAGGUAGCCUUACUGGAAGGUGAGGCUGUAUUAUAUUUUUU